This 253-nucleotide ribosomal RNA is filed under the name uncultured bacterium. RNAcentral describes it as "partial 16S ribosomal RNA". It matches the Rfam family "Bacterial small subunit ribosomal RNA", at positions 524 to 776 of the family's 1533-position model. The record is from RNAcentral.
UACGUAGGGUCGGAGCGUUACCCGGAUUUAUUGGGCGUAAAGGGCGUGUAGGCGGUUCUAGAAGUUCCUCUUGAAAUCUUUAGGCCCAACCUAAAGACCGGGAGGAAGACUCUAGGGCUAGAAUCUGGCAGGGGCUGGUAGAACUUUGGGGGGAGCGGUAAAAUGCGUUGAUAUCCAAAGGAAUACCGAUGGCGAAGGCAGCCAGCUGGGCCAGCAUUGACGCUGAGACGCGAAAGCGUGGGGAGCGAACGGG